Molecule: ribosomal RNA, 370 nt
Filed under: uncultured organism
Description: bacterial SSU rRNA
Rfam family: Bacterial small subunit ribosomal RNA
Source: RNAcentral
CGUAGGCAGCAAGCGUUGUUCGGAGUUACUGGGCGUAAAGGGUGCGUAGGCGGCUUUUUAAGUUUGGUGUGAAAUCUCCCGGCUCAACUGGGAGGGUGCGCCGAAUACUGAGAGGCUAGAGUGCGGGAGAGGAAAGUGGAAUUCCUGGUGUAGCGGUGAAAUGCGUAGAUAUCAGGAGGGACACCGGUGGUGUAAACGGCUUUCUGGACCGUAACUGACGCUGAGGCACGAAAGCGUGGGUAGCAAACAGGAUUAGAUACCCUGGUAGUCCACGCCCUAAACGAUGCAUAUUUGGUGUGGGCCAUUCAGUUGGUCCGUGCCGGAGCUAACGCGUUAAAUAUGCCGCCUGGGGAGUACAGUCGCAAGGCUG